UGCCGGCGGGCGGGGUGCGCCCUGGUGUGCCGCACUCCCAGCCUGUCCACUUCCAGAGCUGUCCCCGGGCCCGGUUCUGGGGCGAAAAUGCCGGCGCUUCACAUAGAAGAUUUGCCAGAAAAGGAAAAGCUGAAGAUGGAAGUUGAGCAACUUCGCAAAGAAGUGAAGUUGCAGAGGCAACAGGUGUCUAAAUGUUUUGAAGAAAUAAAGAACUACAUUGAAGAACGUUCUGGAGAGGAUCCUCUGGUGAAAGGAAUUCCAGAAGACAAGAAUCCUUUUAAAGAGAAAGGCAGCUGUAUUAUUUCAUAAAUAACUCUGGAGAGAAAUUUCAUCCUCAGUAGAAGAACUAGUUUGUUUUGGUUUUCUGAAAUAAAACCGAAAUUCCUUUCAAAGAAGGAAAACAAAAUUUAAGGACUUUCUUAAAUACUUAUACUGAUAUGGUUAUGUAUAAAAGCUGUGUGCUUCUCAUCUUUGCUCACUGUACUCCCUUGUUAAGAGGGCAGAGAGUAUCAAAUGGACAAUUAUGGAAAUAAGGACAUUACUUGUGCAUGACUCACUUCUUUCAGUAUAUUGCUUGAUGCCUUAAAUAAAGUUUUA
Non-coding RNA from Callorhinus ursinus (northern fur seal), 597 nucleotides. Lineage: Eukaryota; Metazoa; Chordata; Mammalia; Carnivora; Otariidae. The record is from RefSeq and is a predicted model, not a curated record.